CCUACGGGGGGCAGCAGUGGGGAAUAUUGCACAAUGGGGGAAACCCUGAUGCAGCGACGCCGCGUGAGUGAAGAAGGAAUUCGUGAUGUAAAGCUCUAGCAGCAGGGAAGAAAAUGACGGUACCUGAGUAAGAAGCCCCGGCUAACUACGUGCCAGCAGCCGCGGUAAUACGUAGGGGGCAAGCGUUAUCCGGAUUUACUGGGUGUAACGGGAGCGUAGACGGCAGGGCAAGUCUGGAGUGAAAGGCGGGGGCUCAACCCCCGGACUGCUCUGGAAACUGUACGGCUGGAGUGCAGGAGAGGUAAGUGGAAUUCCUAGUGUAGCGGUGAAAUGCGUAGAUAUUAGGAGGAACACCAGUGGC
Molecule: ribosomal RNA, 361 nt
Filed under: uncultured bacterium
Lineage: Bacteria
Description: partial 16S ribosomal RNA
Rfam family: Bacterial small subunit ribosomal RNA
Source: RNAcentral